RNAcentral lists this ribosomal RNA (265 nucleotides) under uncultured archaeon. RNAcentral describes it as "partial 16S ribosomal RNA". It matches the Rfam family "Archaeal small subunit ribosomal RNA", at positions 717 to 982 of the family's 1478-position model. The record is from RNAcentral.
ACACGACUACAUUAGAUACCCGCGUAGUCCUGGCCGUAAACGAUGUGGACUUGGUGUUGGAAUGGCUCCGAGCUGCUCCAGUGCCGAAGGGAAGCUGUUAAGUCCACCGCCUGGGAAGUACGGCCGCAAGACUGAAACUUAAAGGAAUUGGCGGGGGAGCACCGCAACGGGAGGAGCGUGCGGUUCAAUUGGAUUCAACGCCGGACAACUCACCAGGAGCGACGGUUACAUGAAGGCCAGGCUGAUGACCUUGCCUGAUUUUCCG